UACGGGGGGGGCAAGCGUUGUUCGGAAUUACUGGGCGUAAAGGGCGCGUAGGCGGCCUGCUAAGUCGGACGUGAAAUCCCCCGGCUCAACCGGGGAACUGCGUCCGAUACUGGCAGGCUUGAAUCCGGGAGAGGGAUGCGGAAUUCCAGGUGUAGCGGUGAAAUGCGUAGAUAUCUGGAGGAACACCGGUGGCGAAGGCGGCAUCCUGGACCGGCAUUGACGCUGAGGCGCGAAAGCCAGGGGAGCAAACGGG
RNAcentral lists this ribosomal RNA (253 nucleotides) under uncultured bacterium. RNAcentral describes it as "partial 16S ribosomal RNA". It matches the Rfam family "Bacterial small subunit ribosomal RNA", at positions 524 to 776 of the family's 1533-position model. The record is from RNAcentral.